Molecule: ribosomal RNA, 490 nt
Filed under: uncultured bacterium
Lineage: Bacteria
Description: partial 16S ribosomal RNA
Rfam family: Bacterial small subunit ribosomal RNA
Source: RNAcentral
AUUGAACGCUGGCGGCAGGCCUAACACAUGCAAGUCGAACGGUAACAGGAAGCAGCUUGCUGCUUCGCUGACGAGUGGCGGACGGGUGAGUAAUGUCUGGGAAGCUGCCUGAUGGAGGGGGAUAACUACUAGAAACGGUAGCUAAUACCGCAUAAUGUCGCAAGACCAAAGAGGGGGACCUUCGGGCCUCUUGCCAUCGGAUGUGCCCAGAUGGGAUUAGCUUGUUGGUGGGGUAACGGCUCACCAAGGCGACGAUCCCUAGCUGGUCUGAGAGGAUGACCAGCCACACUGGAACUGAGACACGGUCCAGACUCCUACGGGAGGCAGCAGUGGGGAAUAUUGCACAAUGGGCGCAAGCCUGAUGCAGCCAUGCCGCGUGUAUGAAGAAGGCCUUCGGGUUGUAAAGUACUUUCAGCGGGGAGGAAGGGAGUAAAGUUAAUACCUUUGCUCAUUGACGUUACCCGCAGAAGAAGCACCGGCUAACUCCGUG